RNAcentral lists this ribosomal RNA (425 nucleotides) under uncultured bacterium. RNAcentral's name for it is "bacterial SSU rRNA". It matches the Rfam family "Bacterial small subunit ribosomal RNA", at positions 358 to 773 of the family's 1533-position model. The record is from RNAcentral.
GGAAUUGUUCGCAAUGGGCGCAAGCCUGACGACGCAACGCCGCGUGGAGGAUGAAGGGCUUCGGCUCGUAAACUCCUUUCGACCGAGAUGAAUACCCGCAGGGCUAACAUCCCUGCGGACUGACAGUAUCGAGGGAAGAAGCCCCGGCUAACUCCGUGCCAGCAGCCGCGGUAAUACGGGGGGAGCAAGCGUUGUUCGGAUUUACUGGGCGUAAAGGGCGCGUAGGCGGCCACCGCAAGUCGACUGUGAAAUCUCUGGGCUUAACCCAGAACGGUCAGCCGAUACUGCGGGGCUAGAGUGCAGAAGGGGCAACUGGAAUUCUCGGUGUAGCGGUGAAAUGCGUAGAUAUCGAGAGGAACACCUGCGGCGAAGGCGGGUUGCUGGGCUGACACUGACGCUGAGGCGCGAAAGCUAGGGGAGCGAAC